Molecule: non-coding RNA, 680 nt
Organism: Pimephales promelas (fathead minnow)
Lineage: Eukaryota; Metazoa; Chordata; Actinopteri; Cypriniformes; Leuciscidae
Source: RefSeq, a predicted model, not a curated record
AAUCCUUUUUCAAUAGAUUUUGCCCAGACCCCUGCAGUGUCAAGUGAAGGAAGCUCCUCUCAUGAGAAUGCAAAGAGAAAUGAAGAAAGAAAUAGAAUGCUGAAGAUUAAUCCAUAAUUAAGAUCUCAGCUUAGUUCCUGGAAAUGCUUCAAGCAUGAAGAGCUUCAAGGAACUGAUUGACUCUGCUGUGAAAGAUGAUAAGUGAUGAGAAUGGGGCAGCAAUCUUGCAUCAAUUUGUCUCCUCCUUGAUUUGAUUCCACCACCCUGGAAAGACAUGGAAAGAUGUGCUCAUAUCAAGCUGAACAACACCUUGUUGUCUUCAAAAGGAGACCAGCGUACAAGAACACCUUGAUUGCAUUGAACCGACCACACAGCAUACCUGCUCGCUGCCGGUGGGGAUCAACUCAAAUACUACUAUACCUGCUCGCUGAUGGGACAAAGAGGGACUGCAUUCAUGGAUGCUACACAACUGUUGACAAGUAGAUUUUUGCAAUCUUGUUCAAAUCCACCUGUCAUAUUUGUUAAUGUAUAGGCAAACUGGGUGAUUUUAUGCUUUUUCCCUUUUCUCUUUUUUUUCUCUGCUAAACUCCUAAUGAAUGUGACAAUUUGACUUUUUCCAUAUAUGGCAUAUGUUUUAAAGGGGCCACUUUGCCAUUUGUUGAAUAAACUUUGGAUUUGUA